Molecule: ribosomal RNA, 478 nt
Filed under: uncultured bacterium
Lineage: Bacteria
Description: partial 16S ribosomal RNA
Rfam family: Bacterial small subunit ribosomal RNA
Source: RNAcentral
GACGAACGCUGGCGGCGUGCUUAACACAUGCAAGUCGAACGGUAAGGCCCUUCGGGGUACACGAGUGGCGAACGGGUGAGUAACACGUGGGUGAUCUGCCCUGCACUUCGGGAUAAGCCUGGGAAACUGGGUCUAAUACCGGAUAGGACCACUGCCUGCAUGGGUGGGGGUGGAAAGCUUUUGCGGUGUGGGAUGGGCCCGCGGCCUAUCAGCUGGUUGGUGGGGUGAUGGCAUAGCAAGGCGACGACGGGUGGCCGGCCUGGGAGGGUGACCGGCCACGGUGGGCCGUAGAGACGGCCCAGGCUCGCAGGGAAGGCAGCAGGGGGGAAGAUGGUACAAUGGGCGCAAGCCUGAUGGAGCGACGCCGAGUGAGGGAUGACGGCCUUCGGGUUGUAGACCUCUGUCAGCAGCGACGAGGCGCAAGUGGCGGUAGGUGCAGAAGAAGGACCGGCCAACUACGUGCCAGCAGCCGCCGCGG